GAUCCAGAUGUUGCCAAGGAAACCCAGAG
RNAcentral lists this non-coding RNA (29 nucleotides) under Homo sapiens (human). The record is from RNAcentral. Lineage: Eukaryota; Metazoa; Chordata; Mammalia; Primates; Hominidae.